CUCCUCCUCAAUGGCCAUCACCAAAUGUACUGGGAUAUGGGACUGACUGCAGCCACUGGAGUUGAAGUACUUUUCAUCAGUAAAGAGCAGCAGCAACUGACUAGAAACAUCUUUCCUACAUCUCUCAAGCAAAAAUAAUCCCAUCACAUACCUUGAAUCAUGGGAAAGACAUAGAUUCACAGUCAUACUAGCACAUCAAAAUAAUAUACCCAGCAGGAGGACCAAUGAAAACAUAUAGAAAUCUGCCUCUCAAGCUGAGGCCCCUGGACCAACCCUAGAGCAGCUCAAUAAUGCAGUUUUAUGCCUCACUGUGUGGUCUUCAGAUUCUUCAGCUGCAAAGGUUUCAGGAUGGGCUCACAAGCAUGUCUGGAGAGCAGUCCUUCCCCAGUGUUGCCAAGUUCCAGCUCAGACUCACUGCAGGACCUCUGCUGUGGAGAUGUGUGAGCUGAGGACAGAUCUACAGGGCCCAUUUUCUAUUCAGUUCAAAGGAGAUGGAUUUAAUUACAAGUGGCAUAAUUUGAAAAGAUUUUGUAGUUCACAAAAGCUCUUAAAAAUCCUUGCUGGCAAACUAAAUAAAUAAUCCUUUAUUGCAUCUCUUCAUCUUUGUAUGGCUGCAGGCUGUUUAACAAGGACCUCUGCUGUUCGUUUAAUUUAUUACACUCCCUUACACUUCACAUUCUUCCAAUUUUUUUAAUGAGUUCUCAUUUUGUUGGUCUUUCACAACAGUUUUUCAUGUCCCUUGUGUGCGUACAUGCACCAGCUCUCUGUCACAUAAAAAAUUGCGAAUCCUUCAAUACCAGCUGCUGUAGUUAAUAAACUUGUAACUUUACCCUCA
RNAcentral lists this long non-coding RNA (835 nucleotides) under Parus major (Great Tit). Its description in RNAcentral is "lncRNA (ENSPMJG00000014180.1)". The record is from RNAcentral. Lineage: Eukaryota; Metazoa; Chordata; Aves; Passeriformes; Paridae.